CAAUAGCGUAUAUUUAAGUUGUUGCAGUUAAAAAGCUCGUAGUUGGAUUUCGGAUGGGACUUGCCGGUCCGUCGUUGCGAUGUGCACUGGCCAGUCCUAUCUUGUUGUCGGGGACUAGCUCUUGGUCUUCACUGGCCGGGACUAGGAGCUGACGAGGUUACUUUGAGUAAAUUAGAGUGUUCAAAGCAAGCCUACGCUCUGAAUACAUUAGCAUGGAAUAACACGAUAGGACUCUGGCUUAUCCUGUUGGUCUGUGAGACCAGAGUAAUGAUUAAGAGGGACAGUCGGGGACAUUCGUAUUUCAUUGUCAGAGGUGAAAUUCUUGGAUUUAUGAAAGACGAACUACUGCGAAAGCAUUUGCCAAGGAUGUUUUCAUUAA
RNAcentral lists this ribosomal RNA (379 nucleotides) under uncultured eukaryote. Its description in RNAcentral is "partial 18S ribosomal RNA". It matches the Rfam family "Eukaryotic small subunit ribosomal RNA", at positions 592 to 976 of the family's 1831-position model. The record is from RNAcentral.